UUGGUCAUAUUAUUCCUGAUUCCUGAGCUUAGAAAAUCCAGUGUAUUAAGGGCAGGGACAAUGAAUUCGGUGUAUUCUUGUAUUGGAUAUAUGCCAAUCAUGCUUUUGAAUGCACUUGAGUUGGUCUGAGAGUGUCCUUACAAAGUUCUACAACCAGGAUUAACUUAAGUCACCCAAGAGACCGGAGUCUGGUCGAGUGGGUAAGGUAUGAAACACACCGAGAAUCUCACUGCUGAUAGACUGCAGAAAAGUACUUAUCACAGUGGGAGGCCGUUCCUUCUCUUGCUUGAACAAAAGCGGUACCUGCUGUGGGCCGACCCGGUAGAGACGAACCUAGCAAGGCUCGUCAGUGGCCAAAAACUUGACUUUGAUCCAAUUAGAGAGCACAAACCCCACUUGGGGUAGCCAAAAAAAUUAAAUGAGAAAAGAGGGCAUUUUCUCCGUAAAUCCAUGGUGAACCAGUCACACUACGUAUGCAAUGUAGGCUAUGGGAUUGGAAGUGCACAGACCCAAUGCGCACAACACUAAAUACUUCCUCCAAGCUAGCUAACCACUUAAGCACUCCUUAGCUAGCUAGCCAUAGCCACGUGAAGUAGGGGCGCUGAGGGUGCUACAGCACCCCCUGACAAAUCAUUAUAAAUUAAAGAAAAACAUAUUUCUUUUCAAAAAAGUAGUCCACUGGGCCUUUAUUAGCCUCCCCCAAAUGUCUCAGCACCCCUCUUCACACGGCCAUGUAGCUAGCAAAUAUGCUAACACUAGUUGAUCUUAAGUAUGCAUCAUAAAAGAAAAAGCAUUUGACCCAUCCAGUCCCCUCUGUCAUCAUCACUUUCUCAAACACGAUAAAAAAAUAUUUGUCACAUUUUGCCUGGAAUCUCUGACUUCUCUACUUUGGACAAAGCAGGAUGUGGAAUAAUACAGGCAGGUAACGAGGCCUGUACGCCAAAACCACACUCGCUGUGUUUUUAUUUUGUUUUAAGACUAAACCAAAGCAGAGAUGAAAGGUGUAUUUUAAUAUAUUUAGUGCCACUGCAGAAAUCUAGUGCUUUGUAUUUUGGUGAGGGCAACCUAACACUCCUCAGACUACAAAAAGACCGGUGUGUUUAUGUAACGCGCCCCUCCACCAACCAUCAUGACUUGGACAAUAAAAAAAUCCCUCCCUGCUGCCCCUAACCUCCUCUUGCUCUCCUGCCGUAACAGCCGGUGACGUGGUAGAGCUGGGCCUGACAUUUGCUGCUGCUCUCUUUCACUCUGUCUCACAGCAAGAGUGUGGACGUGUGCUUUUUGGAGAAGGCAUGUGCAGGGCAGCUCACAUCUGGUCUUCUGUCAAAACGCCAGACCACAGACAGAGCACCCAAAAAUUGCAGUGUUCAAUAUUCCACAUUAGUUCAGGCCCAGACAGCAAAACUAAGCAGAUUUUGCUCUCCAGAUGGCGUUUAAAUGUCAGAAAUUGUUCUGCUGGUCAAUUGAAUUCGACGUAUUACUAGAUAUAGUCAUAUGAAAAGUCAGAGACGGCAGAACAACCAAGUAUUAAAAGGAUACAUCGGUAUUUUGGAUAAUUUCCUAUUUACGGAGAGAAAGACUAACUCAUGGAUACCAUUUUUAUGUGUGUGCGUGCAAGUUGAAGGUAGCAUAUCGUUAUUUUAGCGCAAUUGCUGGAAGUCUAUGGAUAUCUACUAGCUAUCUUCUCUUAAAAGCAGGGAAAUUAGCACUUUGUACUCUAAGCAUAUAUAAAUUGUAGUAUUUUAAUUAUAGUUAUUUAUUUUUGGAACUAUUUCUCCUAACUACGCAUUUUAUUAAUCCGCUGUGACGGUGGGCGCAAGGAUGGGCUGUGUGUGAGCUGGCCAGCUGAGACGUCGGGACAGCGGCAGUUCUGAACAAGUUUGCUAGCUAGAUAUCAAGUAGGCAACGUGUAAGAAGAGAACAUCAAUUGUAAAACCCACAGAAGAACGAGUACAUCAACAGUCCAAAACUAUAGUUUUACCUCGCAGCCAUGACUGAAUAUUGUUGACACUGCUGGAAGUAUUUUCACACUAUUGGCUAGUUUACGUUACAUUGACAGCUAGCUAGCACAUGUAGUAGAGUGUGGUGAGACAUGGGUUACUACCAUCACUAGUCCAAUAUUGAAAAUGGUUUGUGGGUGUGUUGUAACAGCUUGCAAUAACAAACCAAGGAAGUGGUCGGCUAUAAUCUUUCAAACUUCCAUUGAAUAAUCCGGACUAAUUUAAACUAUGGCUAGUUGCCGUGAAUAUAGACAACGCUGACCAAGGACCUCAGAAAGGUUGUAGCUAGUUUGCUCUUGACAUUUUUUUAGAGGAUGAACUGACGAGCCAUAAGAUGAGACGUUUCCUGACGCAUACAGUGGUCAUUCUACGCACGCCAGAAACAAAGUAGAAUGGGUUGAGAUAGAUGACGUGCCUGCUGUGGACUGUCCACAAGGAACGGACUCCAUGUCUGCUGAAGUAACAUCGCAUUCAGAACCAGAAUAGAGGACAAGCCUCAACAGUUGUUGGCACUCCAAGAUCCAACGUUGUCUACCCAAAACAAUCAAAACAGUGGAUUGCACGGCUGAUAUAUCAACCCACCGCUCAAAGAUUCAGGGAUGACCUGAUGGAGAGCAUCCUGCAGAGACGAAUGGACAAAUACUUGGAGCCCAAAUCCUGUGGAAACGGCUGUCGUUUGGCUGCCAACAUAACCCCAUGCAAAAACCCAGCAAGGAGGAGGUCAUUACUGAUAUCUCCAUUAGCUAUUCUUCCUUGGGUCCACACAAACACAACAAGUAACAAAACACUUAGCUCUGAUAGACAAUUGCAGCACACACAUCAAGAUUCAAGUACACUUGGGGCUAUUCUGACACCCCCAACUGACAUGGUCCUCCUUGCACUACUACCUAAUACACUUAUUGUAACAUCAUUUGUUAGCCUCUGGUCAUUAGCUGUCUGCAUCUUUAAUGGGGAAAAAAUCCAUUCACUUUAGACUACCGUUAUACCUACUUUGUACCAUCUAUUUUAUUGUAUAUUUACUUUUUAUUGCUGUGAAUUGUGUGAAUGUCUUGUCUAUACUGUGUAUUGUACAUUAUGUGCAGUGAUUUGUAUUGUCUUGUAUAAAAUAAAUAAUUGCCGGUU
This is a long non-coding RNA of Oncorhynchus gorbuscha (pink salmon), 3122 nucleotides long. RefSeq lists it as uncharacterized. The transcript is spliced from 3 exons. Lineage: Eukaryota; Metazoa; Chordata; Actinopteri; Salmoniformes; Salmonidae. The record is from RefSeq and is a predicted model, not a curated record.